RNAcentral lists this ribosomal RNA (426 nucleotides) under uncultured bacterium. Its description in RNAcentral is "bacterial SSU rRNA". It matches the Rfam family "Bacterial small subunit ribosomal RNA", at positions 354 to 777 of the family's 1533-position model. The record is from RNAcentral.
GUGAGGAAUAUUGGUCAAUGGGCGGAAGCCUGAACCAGCCAAGUCGCGUGGAGGAAGACGGCCCUACGGGUUGUAAACUCCUUUUACCUGGGAAUAACGGGCGCUACGCGUAGCGCUGUGCAAGUACCGGGAGAAUAAGCAUCGGCUAAUUCCGUGCCAGCAGCCGCGGUAAUACGGAAGAUGCGAGCGUUAUCCGGAUUUAUUGGGUUUAAAGGGUGCGUAGGCGGAAGAAUAAGUCAGCGGUGAAAUGCUUCAGCUCAACUGGAGAAUUGCCGAUGAAACUGUUUUUCUAGAGUAUAAAAGAGGUAUGCGGAAUGCGUGGUGUAGCGGUGAAAUGCAUAGAUAUCACGCAGAACCCCGAUUGCGAAGGCAGCAUACUGGGCUAUAACUGACGCUGAAGCACGAAAGCGUGGGUAUCGAACAGGA